GAUGAACGCUGGCGGCGUGCCUAAUACAUGCAAGUCGAGCGAACGGACGAGAAGCUUGCUUCUCUGAUGUUAGCGGCGGACGGGUGAGUAACACGUGGAUAACCUACCUAUAAGACUGGGAUAACUUCGGGAAACCGGAGCUAAUACCGGAUAAUAUUUUGAACCGCAUGGUUCAAAAGUGAAAGACGGUCUUGCUGUCACUUAUAGAUGGAUCCGCGCUGCAUUAGCUAGUUGGUAAGGUAACGGCUUACCAAGGCAACGAUGCAUAGCCGACCUGAGAGGGUGAUCGGCCACACUGGAACUGAGACACGGUCCAGGCUCCUACGGGAGGCAGCAAUAGGGAAUCUUCCGCAAUGGGCGGAAGCCUGACGGAGCAACGCCGCGUGAAUGAUGAAGGUCUUCGGAUCGUAAAACUCUGUUAUUAGGGAAGAACAUAUGUGUAAGUAACUGUGCACAUCUUGGCGGUACCUAAUCAGAAAGCCACGGCUAAAUACGUG
This 497-nucleotide ribosomal RNA is filed under the name uncultured bacterium. RNAcentral describes it as "partial 16S ribosomal RNA". It matches the Rfam family "Bacterial small subunit ribosomal RNA", at positions 28 to 507 of the family's 1533-position model. The record is from RNAcentral.